RNAcentral lists this long non-coding RNA (1495 nucleotides) under Arachis ipaensis. RNAcentral's name for it is "long non-coding RNA (AIPA_LNC001478)". Lineage: Eukaryota; Viridiplantae; Streptophyta; Magnoliopsida; Fabales; Fabaceae. The record is from RNAcentral.
CCGAGAUCAACAUACAACAAUUCAUGGGUUAUUCCCGUAAUCAAUGAUUAUCAGUCCGUGGGUUUUUCCCGCAUAUAAAACAAAUAACAAUCUAUAGGUUUCCCCGAGAUCAAUGAUCAUUCAGUUCGUGGGUACUUCCCGAUUUUAACCAAUUAUCAAUUCGUGGGCUUUUCCCCGUAGUUAAACAACUAACAGUUCGUGGGGUUUUUCCGCCUUUUAUCACUUUUCAUUAUCCUUUCUAAAACGCAACAAUUCACAUAUCAAUUCGUCAUUCUCUUUUUCCCUUUGAGUUCUUAAUAUUUUUCUUUAAACCUUUCUUAACUUUCUCAGGCAUUUAUCCAUAAAAAUCUUAACCAUCAAGCCAGUCAUAAUCUCUACUUUAGCAAUCUUGACUCAAGCCAACUUUAAAGCUAUUUUUCAAUUUGGUUCUCUAUCGAAAGACUCAAGAAAAAUCAUUUAUUUUAAAUUCAUUAAACACUUUUCAAAACAUAACCUCUCUUUGAAAAUAAUCGAAUAGAACUCUUUCUCAAGUUCACUAACUUCACAAAGAUUCAAAAAUCAUCUCUCUUACUAUUCAAAUUCAAAUAUUAUUAUUUCACCAAAUUUCUAAAAAGGUAAUCCUUUAUUUCAAGUCCAAAACAUAACUCUUUCUAUAUUGAAUCAAAUUCAAAACAUAAUUUCUUUCUUAAAUAAUUCAAGUUCGAAACAUAAUUCCUUUCCUUGGUAAAUUGAACUCAAAAUAUUUUAAUUCUUUUCUAAACUAAAUAAAGCUCAAGUAAUAUAAUUUUCCACAUUCAAAGCUUCUAAAAUAACUUUUCAAAUGAAACCUCAGGUUUUUAUAAAAUUUUGGCAGCACCUCCCCUAAAACUCGGACUUAACCACCCUUACGGGUUCCCUCUUUCUCAACAAGUCUCCCCCUUUCCUCAACAACUACCAAAUAAGAGGUUCUCAAAUCAGUCAGAAAAUUCACAAUUUAUAAUAGCCAACAGUUCGGUCAUAACCCACAAUUCCCACAUAACCCCUCAAUUCAACUUUCACCUCAUCAAUUCGUAACUAACUUUCACUUAUCAUAGGAUUCUUUCAAAAUUAAACUCAAUAAACUAGUAUUCCAAGAAACUUGGUGUUGAGGUAAUUUGGUCACAAUAAAAACUUGUACCAUCUCUCUUAAAAUUCUGUUAUUGUUUCCUAAGAAAAUGCAGAAAAAUAGCAGCAAGUAGUAAGUUUGAUAAAUUCCUUAAAAAUCCAGUUUUCACCCAAUGCCUUUCAAAACUCACGACCUCAAACAAGACUCUUUUAGCUUUUUAUUGAAUCAAAUUCCAGAUUAAUACCAUGUCAUAUGAAAAAGUUAUAAAGUGAGAAACACAGCCAGGCCUUUUAGAAUUCGGUUUCCAAAAUCCAGUGAGUUAUCCAUACUCUUUUCAACAUAUCUACUUGGUUAAAUAGGAUAUUGACAUGAAAUUUAAAAUGAAGAUUGUGCACACAGGAAGCUUGAAAA